Molecule: ribosomal RNA, 496 nt
Filed under: uncultured bacterium
Lineage: Bacteria
Description: partial 16S ribosomal RNA
Rfam family: Bacterial small subunit ribosomal RNA
Source: RNAcentral
GAUGAACGCUGGCGGCGUGCCUAAUACAUGCAAGUCGAGCGAACAGACGAGGAGCUUGCUCCUCUGACGUUAGCGGCGGACGGGUGAGUAACACGUGGAUAACCUACCUAUAAGACUGGGAUAACUUCGGGAAACCGGAGCUAAUACCGGAUAAUAUAUUGAACCGCAUGGUUCAAUAGUGAAAGACGGUUUUGCUGUCACUUAUAGAUGGAUCCGCGCCGCAUUAGCUAGUUGGUAAGGUAACGGCUUACCAAGGCAACGAUGCGUAGCCGACCUGAGAGGGUGAUCGGCCACACUGGAACUGAGACACGGUCCAGACGCCUACGGGAGGCAGCAGUAGGGAAUCUUCCGCAAUGGGCGAAAGCCUGACGGAGCAACGCCGCGUGAGUGAUGAAGGUCUACGGAUCGUAAAACUCUGUUAUUAGGGAAGAACAAAUGUGUAAGUAACUAUGCACGUCUUGACGGUACCUAAUCAGAAAGCCACGGCUAACUACGU